Molecule: ribosomal RNA, 253 nt
Filed under: uncultured bacterium
Lineage: Bacteria
Description: partial 16S ribosomal RNA
Rfam family: Bacterial small subunit ribosomal RNA
Source: RNAcentral
UACGAAGGGGGCUAGCGUUGCUCGGAAUCACUGGGCGUAAAGGGUGCGUAGGCGGGUCUUUAAGUCAGGGGUGAAAUCCUGGAGCUCAACUCCAGAACUGCCUUUGAUACCGAGGAUCUUGAGUUCGGGAGAGGUGAGUGGAACUGCGAGUGUAGAGGUGAAAUUCGUAGAUAUUCGCAAGAACACCAGUGGCGAAGGCGGCUCACUGGCCCGAUACUGACGCUGAGGCACGAAAGCGUGGGGAGCAAACAGG